GACGAACGCUGGCGGCGUGCUUAACACAUGCAAGUCGAACGGGCCUGUCUUCUUUUUUGGGGGGUGGGUUGAGUGGCGAACGGGUGAGUAUCACGUGAGUAACCUGCCCUUCGGUCCUGGAUAACCGCUUGAAAGGGCGGCUAAUACGGGGUGGUCCGGUUGGUCCGCAUAGGCUGGUCGGGAUAGAUUCACUGUUUUUGGUGUUUCGGCGGGGGAUGGGCUCGCGGCCUAUCAGCUUGUUGGUGGGGUGAUGGCCUACCAAGGCGGUGACGGGUAGCCGGCCUGAGAGGGUGGGCGGCCACACUGGGACUGAGAUACGGCCCAGACUCCUGCGGGAGGCAGCAGUGGGGGGUAUUGCACAAUGGGCGGAAGCCUGAUGCAGCGACGUCGCGUGAGGGAUGGAGGCCUUCGGGUUGUGAACCUCUGUUUCCGGUGGUGAAGGCCCUGUCCGUGUGGUGGGGUUGACGGUAGCCGGGGAUGAAGCGCCGGCUAACUACGUG
RNAcentral lists this ribosomal RNA (500 nucleotides) under uncultured bacterium. RNAcentral's name for it is "partial 16S ribosomal RNA". It matches the Rfam family "Bacterial small subunit ribosomal RNA", at positions 28 to 507 of the family's 1533-position model. The record is from RNAcentral.